Molecule: non-coding RNA, 72 nt
Organism: Phrynosoma platyrhinos (Desert horned lizard)
Lineage: Eukaryota; Metazoa; Chordata; Lepidosauria; Squamata; Phrynosomatidae
Source: the annotation of a GenBank genome assembly
GCCAGUGUGGUGUAGUUGUUUGGGCACUGGAUUAUGACUCUGGAGACCAGGGUUCGAAUCCCAGUGGAGCCA